UAGGGAAUCUUCCACAAUGGACGAAAGUCUGAUGGAGCAACGCCGCGUGAGUGAAGAAGGGUUUCGGCUCGUAAAACUCUGUUGUUAAAGAAGAACAUAUCUGAGAGUAACUGUUCAGGUAUUGACGGUAUUUAACCAGAAAGCCACGGCUAACUAUGUGCCAG
This 164-nucleotide ribosomal RNA is filed under the name uncultured bacterium. RNAcentral's name for it is "partial 16S rRNA". It matches the Rfam family "Bacterial small subunit ribosomal RNA", at positions 355 to 511 of the family's 1533-position model. The record is from RNAcentral.